AUGGUGUCACAAACCCAGGUUAUCCUGUCCCUGCUGCUCUUGGUGUCUGGUAAGAAAUUCAAAAAUACCUGUGCAGAUAUUGUGAUGACCCAGUCUCCAUCCUCCUUGGCUGUGUCAGCAGGGGAGAAGGUCACCAUCAGCUGCAAGUCCAGUCAGAGUCUUUCAUCUGGUAGUACUAACUACUUGGCUUGGUACCAGCAGAAACCAGAGCAGGCUCCUAAACUACUGAUCUACUUGGCAUCCACUCGGUACACUGGGGUCCCUGAUCGCUUCACAGGAAGUGGAUCUGGGACAGAUUUCACUCUCACCAUCAGCAGUGUUCAGGCUGAAGAUCUGGCAGAUUACUACUGUCAGCAGCACUACACCUAUCCUCCCACAGUGCUUCAGCCUCCAACAAAAACCUCUCUGAGAUUCUCACCAGCUGGCUGCACCACACAGUCCUGGACCUGCAUAUGCUCCCCCGCUGACUGA
Non-coding RNA from Chionomys nivalis (European snow vole), 471 nucleotides. Lineage: Eukaryota; Metazoa; Chordata; Mammalia; Rodentia; Cricetidae. The record is from the annotation of a RefSeq genome assembly.